AUAGGCAAAAAGUUGAUUCUCUUCUAGUCUCCAGAAGGAACACAGCCCUCCUGAGACCUUUAUUUUGACCCAGUGUAACCCAGUGAGAACUCAAACUUCUAACAUGCAGAAUUACAAGGUAAUAAAUUUAUGUCAUUUUAAGCCACAAAAUUUGAAGCAAUUUAUUAUUUCAGCAGCAAUAAUAGACUAAUACAAUAUUUAUUCCUCAGUGUUUAACUAUACAGAUUAUUGGGUAUAUCAUACUCAGGACAUAAACCAGUUGUAUUGACUGGAAGAAAAACCUACAACAUGGACUCUACAAGCACCUAAUCAUGUUGUACCCCUUUUCUUCACAGGAAUUAAAUGUUGGAAGUCCUCUUGAUUAUCAAGACACACAAGUAACUCGGAAGAUCCAACAACAGGUCAUGUUUCACUUAGAUGUGAAGUCCAGCUCCCAGUGUGUGCAGAGAGAGUGAUGAAUGAGGAGGCCGUGUUAUCAGAAGGCCGGGUGGGACAGAGUUCUGAUUGGAGAAACUGAAGUGUCACUGAGGAGAUGGAAAUCCUGCCUAAUCUAAGAGGUGGCACAGCAGAGAGGAAAAAGGAGAAUGACCGAUUCUCAUCUGCCCAUGGCUGUGCAAGGGAGAACUACAGCACUGGGCUCUCUGCGCCUGUGCUCUGUAAGUACCAUUGACUCUUCCCUCUAGUUGUAGAGAUGUUUGUCAGUCAUAAGUCCUCACUUCUUGCUAUUUCCAAUCUCAUUCAUUUGACCCAUUGGCAUUUUGACGCAGGAUUCCACGCUCGGUGUUCAACAGCAUCCUGUGGCCAUAUAACCACGAGCUUCCCAGAAUAAAAGCGCCUGGAUUCUGCUGUGUUUGACAAGCACAGGACAUGGAAAUGGAAGGCCUCAGCUUAUAUUCCAGUUCAGCCACUUCCUCAUGUGACCUUUGCUAAAUCAUUGCAUGUCUCUGUAUCAUAUAUUGCUCCUUCAAUAAUAUCAGACAAAACCAAACAGAAACUCCAGAAUUAAAGUGCAGUGAGUAAAAAUUAGGAAUAUUUGCAUUUCCCAAAACAGAAUGAUGCUAAUAGGAGCAAAACAAAUAACUAUUAGUGUUUUUAAGGAACUAAGAAUAAUAAUAAAUACUGUUCACUUUUGAUGUCAAUAUUAACCAUACAUAUAAAAUAGCAACGAGAUGUUUAUUUUUCUCAUGUAUAUAUCUUAUCAACUCAAAUCAUUUCCUUUGACAUUGAUCCUCUCUCACAAUCUGGUCCUACUCACAUGAUUUUACUUAAUUUUUUGUCUUU
Molecule: long non-coding RNA, 1281 nt
Filed under: Callithrix jacchus (white-tufted-ear marmoset)
Lineage: Eukaryota; Metazoa; Chordata; Mammalia; Primates; Cebidae
Description: lncRNA (ENSCJAG00000084406.1)
Source: RNAcentral